CUUGUCCAUGAGAAGGUUUCGCUGCCCGUGGGUGAAGGUUCUGCUUGCAAGUGCUCGCAGAAGAUGCUGCGCACGGGACUGAAAUGGUUGAACAGGAUGCCGUGCUGACUUCACAGGACAAGAAGAAGCAGAGGGCUAAGGUCUCUACGCCGGUGGGUGCUUCCCUCCCGGUGGUUAAGAAAAGCAAGAAGUAGAACC
Lolium rigidum is the source of this 198-nucleotide long non-coding RNA. RefSeq lists it as uncharacterized. The record is from RefSeq and is a predicted model, not a curated record. The transcript is spliced from 3 exons. Lineage: Eukaryota; Viridiplantae; Streptophyta; Magnoliopsida; Poales; Poaceae.